GACGAACGCUGGCGGCGUGCUUAACACAUGCAAGUCGAACGGAAAGGCCCUGCUUGCAGGGUACUCGAGUGGCGAACGGGUGAGUAACACGUGGGUGAUCUGCCCUGCACUUCGGGAUAAGCCUGGGAAACUGGGUCUAAUACCGGAUAGGAGCCAUUUUUAGUGUGUUGGUUGGAAAGUUUUUUCGGUGUAGGAUGAGCUCGCGGCCUAUCAGCUUGUUGGUGGGGUAAUGGCCUACCAAGGCGGCGACGGGUAGCCGGCCUGAGGGGGUGGACGGCCACAUUGGGACUGAGAUACGGCCCAGACUCCUACGGGAGGCAGCAGUGGGGAAUAUUGCACAAUGGGCGCAAGCCUGAUGCAGCGACGCCGCGUGGGGGAUGACGGCCUUCGGGUUGUAAACUCCUUUCGCUAGGGACGAAGCUUUUUGUGACGGUACCUAGAGAAGAAGCACCGGCUAACUACGUG
RNAcentral lists this ribosomal RNA (465 nucleotides) under uncultured bacterium. RNAcentral's name for it is "partial 16S ribosomal RNA". It matches the Rfam family "Bacterial small subunit ribosomal RNA", at positions 28 to 507 of the family's 1533-position model. The record is from RNAcentral.